AUGAUGGUGCAGAUCUUGGAAACAAUUCAACUGGGCACCAUGGCGCUGAAUUCAAGUACAACUUCUUGCCGGAAAGGCAUUCAUCGGCCUCCACUUGUGCGCCAAUCUAUGAUGCCUGCGCUCGCGGUGUCAGGUCACGCUCUGCUGCAAUUGUGCAUGCUGCCUCUACGCGGCCCCAUCAAGGAAUACAGCCCAGCUGAGAUUUUUCAUAUCAUCUCUACCAUGGCGGCAUCGUUGCAAGAGAUUCAGGUAGUGGUGCAUCCGGACGUUGUCAAAAUCUCUCCCAAACCUGUAAUGAAGUGCUCGACAAAGGAUGCUAGCGCUAUAUUGCCUGCUGAAUUUUUCUGA
RNAcentral lists this ribosomal RNA (348 nucleotides) under Triticum aestivum (bread wheat). RNAcentral's name for it is "partial small subunit ribosomal RNA". The record is from RNAcentral. Lineage: Eukaryota; Viridiplantae; Streptophyta; Magnoliopsida; Poales; Poaceae.